This 442-nucleotide ribosomal RNA is filed under the name uncultured bacterium. Its description in RNAcentral is "partial 16S ribosomal RNA". It matches the Rfam family "Bacterial small subunit ribosomal RNA", at positions 338 to 795 of the family's 1533-position model. The record is from RNAcentral.
CCUACGGGAGGCAGCAGUGGGGAAUAUUGGGCAAUGGGCGCAAGCCUGACCCAGCAACGCCGCGUGAAGGAAGAAGGCUUUCGGGUUGUAAACUUCUUUUAAGAGGGAAGAGCAGAAGACGGUACCUCUUGAAUAAGCCACGGCUAACUACGUGCCAGCAGCCGCGGUAAUACGUAGGUGGCAAGCGUUGUCCGGAUUUACUGGGUGUAAAGGGCGUGUAGCCGGGCUGACAAGUCAGAUGUGAAAUUCCGGGGCUCAACCCCGGAACUGCAUGUGAAACUGUUGGUCUUGAGUAGCGGAGAGGCAGGCGGAAUUCCCGGUGUAGCAGUGAAAUGCGUAGAUAUUAGGAGGAACACCAGUGGCGAAGGCGGCCUGCUGGACGACAACUGACGGUGAGGCGCGAAAGCGUGGGGAGCAAACAGGAUUAGAUACCCUAGUAGUC